GCCGGAGUGAUGGAACCAGGCAGACAUACUGGACUUAAAAUCCAGUGCUCAUAGAGCGUGUGGGUUCAAUUCCCACCUUCGGCA
Molecule: transfer RNA, 84 nt
Filed under: marine sediment metagenome
Description: tRNA-Leu
Rfam family: tRNA
About the family: Transfer RNA (tRNA) molecules are approximately 80 nucleotides in length. Their secondary structure includes four short double-helical elements and three loops (D, anti-codon, and T loops).
Source: RNAcentral